AUUUUAUAGCAUUAUUGUUGAUGGUUUGUUCAUGUUUCAUACUAGUGUGGAAGUAGGUUGAGUUUAGGGGAGUGUUGUAGUACAAAUGUAAUUCGCAUGUACUCAUAGACAUCGCAGAUCUAUAGACGCCUAAGAAAGUGUCGUAGUACAAAUUAGCUCGCAUCUACUCCUAAAUUGUAAAACUCGGGAGAGUUUCAUGGUACGAAUGUAGCCCGCAGGUACUCC
Molecule: long non-coding RNA, 225 nt
Filed under: Lathyrus oleraceus (garden pea)
Lineage: Eukaryota; Viridiplantae; Streptophyta; Magnoliopsida; Fabales; Fabaceae
Description: Pisum sativum (pea) long non-coding RNA (PSAT_LNC028956)
Source: RNAcentral